UAAAGGUGCAUGAGUGGUGUUUGGUUUGAUACGGGUGGUCGGCUCCCUGCUUGAGCAGGCACGGCCACGCGUGCAUUCCUUUUCAGUUGUGCGGCAAGGCUUGUAUCCUCUUGAUCGUAUAAGUGGGUUUCUUGUGUUGCAUACCUGAUCAAUGGCAUCGUUUUGAUCAAAAGGGUACCUUUUUCGUCUGGCGAUGCACUUGUUGCAUUGUCGGAUGAACCGUGUAGCAUCCUUUUUGAUCCAUACAGUUGACGUGUAUUCGUUGAUUGUUUGGCCCAUUGAGGGUGACUUGGUCUCUCGGAUAUGGAAGCCAAAGUGGGCAUGGGUUCGCAAGAUCCCUUUAUUGCCCCUCAUUGAGCGUUCUCGCUUUUCUUACACGACCGCCUUUCACGUAUGGCACGUCCCAGCGUGUUUGGCUAAGUCGAAGAGGAAUGCUACCUGGUUGAUCCUGCC
This 453-nucleotide unclassified non-coding RNA is filed under the name Lorandersonia microcephala. Its description in RNAcentral is "partial external transcribed spacer". The record is from RNAcentral. Lineage: Eukaryota; Viridiplantae; Streptophyta; Magnoliopsida; Asterales; Asteraceae.